Alligator mississippiensis (American alligator) is the source of this 6875-nucleotide long non-coding RNA. RefSeq lists it as uncharacterized. The transcript has 6 exons. NCBI's taxonomy places the organism in Eukaryota, Metazoa, Chordata, Crocodylia, Alligatoridae. The record is from RefSeq and is a predicted model, not a curated record.
ACCUGAAAGCUUGCUUAAUAAUUAUUUUCCAACUAUUUGGGUUGGUCUAAUAAAAGAUAUCAGAUUCACCCAAGGAACCUUGUCUAUCUAGAUGUAUAUGCACUGAAGCAGUAUGUGAUCCAGCAGUUUCCUGUUCAUUAGGAGUUAAUGUCUUCCCACCUUGCCUGGCAACCUCUUUAGUGUACCAGCCUAGGAUUUCUCCAUUGCAACACUACAUGCCCUAAUGCCACCCAGAGUAACAAUUCCCCAAAAAAUUGGAUCGGUAUCAGCCCCCCAAAAAUGUUUAUUGGUGCACCCCUAUUGUAUGCUAAUUGUUCUUCUUUCUUUAAAAAAAAAAAGCAAGAGAUCAUUCAUUCUGGUUUGUGAAACAGGAAACAUGUCUCUUCAGUAAGCAGUAUCAUAGCAAAUGGUUGCUAGUUCGCUGUCUUAUUUUGACAGCUUGUUUUGUUGAAUAUGAUGCGUGAUAGUCCUAGUUGACUAACUUUUAAAUCUUCAACUUUAAUGUAUCGUUUUCCUUCUUGAUUAAUGUUUGAUGUAAUUGAAUUAAAACCACUUCUCUGUAUGCAGCUCAGGCCAUGCUGUACAAGAUGCUGGGUUACAGAACUAGUGCAGAAUCAUGUAUCUUUAAAAAUCAUUGAUAUACUGGAUAUAUAAAAGUUUUUAAUGCUGUCCACCUCUGUUAGGGCCAAAGCCCUCUCAGUUUAAGCCUUAAUAAUUGGUAUUAAUGCUAGUCUCUUGGUUGGUGGGAUACUAUUGUAUUUUGCUAAGGCAGUUGGAGUCAUCAAACUGCUUUAAGCAGGACUUUCUCCUUCCAUCUUGAUUUAGUUUAUUUUGUGCAGUCUUCUUAUAAUUUUGCAAAGAAUAAAGUUAAAAUCCAUAAGGCAAAGUUAGCUUUCGCACAAGAGGUUUUUGCAUCCACAUUACAAUGGACUUGGUAGGCAUAUUUGAAGAAUUUACAUUAGAAGCUUUUUAAAUAUUUGAAAACUCUGUAUCCGUAUGAUGCAGUGUGAGCCUACUUAAUAGCUAUGUCUAUGAAGAGCUUUCCAACUAAAGACGUAAUCAAAGAUGCAAAAUCUUAGGGCACUAAGCUGUAAUAACUAAAGCUGGAUCUCUCUUCUAGACACAUUUGUGUCAGUUUUUAUUUAAAUGUAUUGCUUUCAUUUACCAAGUCACUAAGGGGCACAUUAGAGUCUUAAUUUCUUCUGAAAAAAAAUCAAGGGAGAGGUUCUUUGAGGUUUUCUCACUGGUGUAUCUGUGUGUGUGUGUGUGUGUGUGUGAUCUCAUAAUGAAUAAAUCAGAAUACUAGAUUCUUUUCUCUCUUCUGCAGAAAAAGAUGGCAAAGCCUUUCAUCCGACACAUGAAGAAAAACUGAAACUGGUGGCCCAGCACAAGGGGAAAUGCCUCAUCCGGGACCAGCUCCGAGAUGGGUGCUGAGCAGAGUGGCAGCACCAAGGAGCUUUAUGUAAGGCUCUCCAGGACUUUGGAGCCACAUCCCAGGACAGACCCUCCAAGCCACCUGCAGUAACACCAACUCUCAUGAAACAAUCACGAGACUUCUGGUUUCCAAGUCAAUUCAUUCUAACUCAUGAUCUCCCAAGACAGAGAUCAAAUCUCAGGAUUUUUUCUUCUGGAACAUGUAGAGCAGCUCUGUGGAGGGGAGAAGAAGAAGGGAGGUGCCAUGAAAAGGAAGAGUGACAGCACUUGCAAAAGAAAGAAGAGAGAUGUAAGAAAGAGGAGGAAGAAAGAUUGAGACAGGAAGAAGAGGAGAAGAGGCAGAUGGAGGAAGAGAGGCUCUGGAUGGAACAGCAGAUAGGAAGUUGAGAAAAUGAACAAGAAGAUGGAAGAAGUGAAGGAGGUCACAGUCUGAGUGGUCUCAGAAGAGUUUCUCAAGGAUGUGAAAUCCUCCAGCAAAGGCUUUCGGGAACUGCUGUCAGUACACAAGGGUGCACAUGUGAAGCAGUCAAGGAAGUCAAGGAAGAACAAGAUCUUCUACCCUCUGGUUCCUUGAGUUGAGGGCCACCAACUGGGCAUGGGACUCAUGAUGGCCUCAUCCUCCUUGCCCACUACUGUGUCGGUGCCCAUGCCAGUGCUAGUGCCCACAACUGUGGCUGCAUCCACCAUGCCCUCUACCUGGGGCAAUAACUGGACCAAGGAGGAGAGACACAGCUUUGUGGCACUGUUGGGCAAGGAGCAGCACUAAUCCAAGCGGGACAGGCACUCAGAUGCCUCCAUGUAUGAGGCACUGUCAAGCCAGAUGCAGAAGCUCAGGCACGACCUGUUGGUGCAGCAGUGCCACAUAAAAAUCAAGGUUAUGCAGGCACAGUGGGUUGCCAAGACCAACUGCAGUCAUCACCAGAGGAGAGCCCCUUCGGGGGUCCAGCUCCCUGUUGUGCUGAGCUCCUUGUCUGCAAUUUCCACCAACAACUCAGAGCCCUGGCCAGUACCUGCCUUGCCAACUCCACAGCCCCAGGGGCAGCCACAACAUGCAGCUGGCCAUGACGCUGCUGACUGCCAGCAGCAUUGGUUCCUGCCCAGGGGAGGCCCUGGCUCAGUGCCUGCACAUGACACCCACCAUCAGAGGACAAUGGCUGGAGUCGCAUGCCAUCAUCAAUAGCCAGGACUGAGUGGGGCCACCGGCUGCACCAGCCCUGGCCACGGGCUAAGGACCACACUGAGGGGAGGGCCCUCCCCGACCUGGCCCCUGCUCCCCACUCCCCACCCAGUCCUCCCACAUGCCCCUGGCCCUGGGUUCUACACCCCCCCCCCCCCCGCACACAGGGAGGCAGGAGACAGUGUCGAACUUUCAGCAGCCCAUGCCCCUAAAGCUAGGCAGGCAUGGGCCUCUCCUGCCAAGGAACAUGUCAAUGCUGGCAGCAAUGUUCUCUUUGGCUGCGGGGGGGUGCAGGGACGCAUAAUACAGCCACCGGUAGCCUUCCAGGUGGCAACAGAGGUUGCAGGGCAGCCUGGACCUGCCCCCCGUGCUGUUGUAGCUCAGGGUCUCGUACCAGGUAUGCAGGUGCACCAAGGCCAUUGUGGCAAUCAGCAGCAGCAGGGCCUGGUGGGUCAGGCAUCCCUUGUUCCAUGCAAACAGCUCCUCACACAGUGCCCAUGACGUGCAGCAGGGGCACACUCGGGGCACAGUGCUCGUGCACUGGGGGACUGGCCCUGGGCCACCUCCCUGGAGAGACCCCCUGUGGGGAGAGUGGGGGCAUGGGCAUCUCCUCAUCCCAGUCAUACUGAAGUUGUGUGUCCCCCCUCCUCCCUCCCCCCAACGGCAGCACAUGGGCUGGGCAGCAGCACAAGAGAGCAGCUGACCUAAAGCAGGAGUCUAGGGCGGGAGCGGGUUCUGGAGCCGUGGUAGCAGGUGCUGCCAGGAGCUUGGCCUGUCCUGCCUUGGUAAGAGGGCAGGGGAGGCAGGUUGCCUGCAGCCAGCACCCACCAGCCCUCCAGCCCCAGGGGAAUGAGCAGGGUUGGGGGGCUAGGCUGGUGGCCACCUGGGCCUGAGCCUGCCCACCCCAAUGUACCAUGGUCCCUCAGGACCCAUGCAUGCCUGACUCCUGAUCUGAGGCUGGGAAGCGCAUGGCUCCUGGUAUCUUAUCAGAAAUGUUGCAAACUCUUUCACAAACAUCUUCUGUCUUGUGGCUCUACAGGGCCCAAAGCUGCAUGUGAGGGAGAGGUUGUCCUAGGCAGCUGCGAUGCAGCCUCAGGGUUGUGACCGCUCACAGCCAGGGAGCUGCGGACGUGUCAGCUCCCUCAAAGGCAGACACAGGACUGCACCUUGUUCCUGGAGCAGCUGGUGGUGAGGUCACAGGAGCGGCUGGAGGAAUCACGGGCCUGGGUGGGGCAGAGGACGUUCCCCAAGAGGUUGCACAGGACCAGUGCAAGGAGGUGCAGGGUCAGGAGUUCUGGGCAGAGCUCCUGGCCCUAAAGCACAAGGAGAUCCAGCUGCUGUAGGAGCAGAACGCCCUCCUGGUCUAGGCAGUGUAGGCCAUGGAUAAUGACUGCUAGGUGCUGGACUCCAUUCUGGCCCUGGCGGUCAUAUUCAUGGCACCUACUACCCCACAACUUAGCCCUGCCUGCCCCCUGGCAGCUGCUUGCCAACCUGCAGCAAGCCCUCACCUGGGCCUAGAAGGAGGUCAUGUGCCGCCUCCAGCAGCCAGGAGCCCCUGCCCCAAGUCUGGCAUCCCCCCCUCCCCCCGCCUGGGCCCAGCCCUGCUGCUCACCCCGGCUGUUCUGGGCAUGUGCUGCAAUUGGUGCAGGGGCACGCCAAACUGAAAGUAAAGCGCUAUUCCCUGCCCCCAGCCCAGGUCUGAAAGAACCCUAUACGUCUACAGACCAAUUUUAAACACCUAGUCCGCAAUAUUCUAUACCCUUUCAAGACUUACAUCCACAAUUUUCAGAUCAUAUGCAUUGUGGGUAGCAGCAUAAGUAUUCUUCACAUAUUGCUUUAUGAUCUUGGCUUCUUCUGAAACUUUAUCAACCACCUGCAAUAAAUAAAAUAACAAGAAAAUCUGAAUUUUUAUCAGUGACCUGGAAGAUAGGAUGGGGUGCACCCUCAGCACAUUUGCAGAUGACACCAAGCCAUGGGGAGUAGUAGAUACACUGGAGGGUAGGGCUGGUAUUCAGAGAAACAAAUUGGAGGACUGGACUAAAAGAAAGCUCAUGAAGUUCAAUAAGGACAAAUGCGAAGUCCUGCACUUAGAACAGAACAAUCCCAGGCACCAGUACAGGCAAGGGACCAACAGGCUAAGCAGAAGCUCUGUAGAAAAUGACUAAGGGCAGGGGCAGUGCCAGCCCCUUCCCAAUGGGGAGGCUGCACUGCAGGCAAGAGCUGUGCAGGCUCAGCUGCAUGGGGCAGGCAGCAGCAGCCUGGGGGGAAGGGUGACACUGGAAAGGGUAACUAUAUGGGGGAGGGUUAGGCAAAUGUGGGGUGGGCUAGAGCCCCCCCCUAACCUCCCCCAGCAUCAUCCCUGACCUGAGGUUUACAGUGAACAAUAAGCUGAAUAUGAGCCAGCAGUGUACCCUUGUUGUGAAGAAAGCUAAUGGCAUACUGGGCUGCAUUAGUAAGUGUUGCCAGCAGACUGAGGGAAAUGAUUCUUCCCCUCUAUUCAGCACUGGUGAGGCCACAUCUGGAGUACUGUGUCCAGUUUUGGGUCCCCCACUAUCGAAACGAUGUGGACAAAUUGGAGACAGUCUAGCAGAGGGCAACAAAAAUUAUUAGGAGGCUGGGGCACAAGACUUCUGAGUAGGGACCCAGGAAGCACCAGUCACCGAGCCAGGGGAGCAUGCCCCCCUGCAUGCUCCCUGGUGGAUCCAGAAGUGGACCGGAAGUGCUUCUGGUCCACUUCUGGGUCUGCUACUGAGUGCACUGGGGAGCCCCCCACACUCCUGUGGGAUGCUCCAUAUCCGCCCCAGCAUCUCAGCAUUCACGAGCCACCUGCUACCAAGUGGUAUGUAGAAAAAACAUUUAAAGCUGUGUCUAUCUCUGAAUCUUUCCAAAUCUCUCCGAAUCCAUUCGUAGGGUUCCGAUUCGAUUCAGAGAAAUUAAAGGGUCCUCUGAUUCAAUUCGGAGAUUCAGCCGCCAAAUCGGACCGAAUCUCUGCCCAAUUGAAUCAGGGACUGAAGCUUCGCACAGCCCUAGUGAGAGGCCACCAAGAUGAGUUUGUCAAGAAUAAAUCUUGUCAAACCAAUCUAAUUUCAUUCGUUGGCAGGCUGGGUGGCCUUAGUGGAUAGCUGGCAGCAGUAGACGUGAUCCAUCCUAGCUUCAGUAAAUCUUUAGACACUGUCCCACAUGACAUUCAGAUAAGCAAGUUAAGAAAACACUGUCUGCAUAGGAGCAUGCAGCUGGUUUGAAAAAUUGCUCCGUGGUUAGUUCCUAAACUGGGAGAGUAUUUCCAAGUGGAGAAAGAGGUGUUAAUGUCUAGAAAGUCUGGCAUUUGUAGGUUAUUUCCUUCUGAGGCAUAUGUAAGUAAAACUACAAGACAAAAAGAUUGGACAAUAUUACAGGAUCCCCUGAGGUCUCCUAUGGCAAACCAUUAUGGGCAGGGGUAUCACAUUUAAUAAUCUGUGAAGAAUGGCACACACCUACUGCACUUAUAUAGAUGAGUGAAAUUGCCAUCGUGAAUUUAGUUUUUUUCAAGACACAAGACUGCUUGCAUUUGAGACUUGUAACUGAUGCUCCCUUUCUCCUUUGCAGGUUUGGGCAAAACUGCGCCUGAUCCCACAGCCACCAUCAGUUAUGAGGGUGUAGAAGUUCCUCUGGGGAAUGGAAUGUCAACAGGAAUUAAUGAUACUUGUCUUCUGUAUAAUGAAUGUAUUGUCUACAAUGUUGCUCAGGUAAAUCUGAAGUACCUGCUGAAACUGAAAUUCAACUACAAGACAUCACUCUAGUGAACAAUAUAUAGAAGCCCUGUUCUCAAGUUAUACCGUGGUUAUGCUAUAGCACUGACUUUUGACAUGCUUAUUAAGCAUUGACUGCCCUUAUCAAGAUAUCAAAGAACUAAGUUGCAGAAGAAGCUACUAAAUUUGAAUUUAGUAAAUCACUUUAGUGAAUUUUUUAUAUAUAUAUAAAUGUGUGGCUACACAUGGAACUGAAUUCUGAAGAGAAUGAAUAUCUGGUUCUGUCUUAUGCCACUUCUAGUUUUUCGGUUGUCAAGUGUUCCUUUUAAUACGCAGUAGACUAAAAAUCAGGCAGAAGUGUUUUUAGCCAAGCAGAAGUGGGGUAGGAGAAAUUACAGAUGUUUAUGAGCAUUUGCCCUGUUAAAAUGAAUCAUCACCCUCUUGUUUAAAAUAUUCUUUUCCAGUUUUGAUUUUGAAUAAAUGUUAAAUGUGCAUUUAUUUUGAGGUAAAAAUAAAAGCUAAUUUCAUACUAACAA